Molecule: transfer RNA, 76 nt
Filed under: Candidatus Parabeggiatoa communis
Lineage: Bacteria; Pseudomonadati; Pseudomonadota; Gammaproteobacteria; Thiotrichales; Thiotrichaceae
Also listed under: 2 other names
Description: tRNA-Glu
Rfam family: tRNA
About the family: Transfer RNA (tRNA) molecules are approximately 80 nucleotides in length. Their secondary structure includes four short double-helical elements and three loops (D, anti-codon, and T loops).
Source: RNAcentral
GCUCCCUUCGUCUAGCGGCCUAGGACACCGCCCUCUCACGGCGUAAACAGGGGUUCGAGUCCCCUAGGGAGCGCCA